RNAcentral lists this transfer RNA (72 nucleotides) under Cavia porcellus (domestic guinea pig). It matches the Rfam family "tRNA". From Rfam's summary of the family: Transfer RNA (tRNA) molecules are approximately 80 nucleotides in length. Their secondary structure includes four short double-helical elements and three loops (D, anti-codon, and T loops). The record is from Rfam by way of RNAcentral. Lineage: Eukaryota; Metazoa; Chordata; Mammalia; Rodentia; Caviidae.
GGAGGUGUAGCUCAGUGGAAGAGUACUUGUCUAGCAAGUGGGAGGCCCUGGGUUCUAUCCCCAGCAUUUGUG